This 469-nucleotide ribosomal RNA is filed under the name uncultured bacterium. RNAcentral's name for it is "bacterial SSU rRNA". It matches the Rfam family "Bacterial small subunit ribosomal RNA", at positions 335 to 796 of the family's 1533-position model. The record is from RNAcentral.
ACUCCUACGGGAGGCAGCAGUGGGGAAUAUUGGACAAUGGGGGAACCCUGAUCCAGCCAUGCCGCGUGUGUGAAGAAGGCCUUAUGGUUGUAAAGCACUUUAAGCGAGGAGGAGGCUCUUUUGGUUAAUACCUAAAGUGAGUGGACGUUACUCGCAGAAUAAGCACCGGCUAACUCUGUGCCAGCAGCCGCGGUAAUACAGAGGGUGCGAGCGUUAAUCGGAUUUACUGGGCGUAAAGCGUGCGUAGGCGGCUUUUUAAGUCGGAUGUGAAAUCCCUGAGCUUAACUUAGGAAUUGCAUUCGAUACUGGAAAGCUAGAGUAUGGGAGAGGAUGGUAGAAUUCCAGGUGUAGCGGUGAAAUGCGUAGAGAUCUGGAGGAAUACCGAUGGCGAAGGCAGCCAUCUGGUCUAAUACUGACGCUGAGGUACGAAAGCAUGGGGAGCAAACAGGAUUAGAUACCCUGGUAGCUA